UCCCUGGUAGCUCAGAGGUUAAAGUGUCUGUCUCCAAAGCGGGAGGCCCUGGGUUCGAUCCCUGGGUCGGGAA
RNAcentral lists this transfer RNA (73 nucleotides) under Ovis aries (sheep). It matches the Rfam family "tRNA". From Rfam's summary of the family: Transfer RNA (tRNA) molecules are approximately 80 nucleotides in length. Their secondary structure includes four short double-helical elements and three loops (D, anti-codon, and T loops). Lineage: Eukaryota; Metazoa; Chordata; Mammalia; Artiodactyla; Bovidae. The record is from Rfam by way of RNAcentral.